This 460-nucleotide ribosomal RNA is filed under the name uncultured bacterium. RNAcentral's name for it is "partial 16S ribosomal RNA". It matches the Rfam family "Bacterial small subunit ribosomal RNA", at positions 338 to 795 of the family's 1533-position model. The record is from RNAcentral.
CCUACGGGGGGCAGCAGUGAGGAAUAUUGGUCAAUGGGCGAGAGCCUGAACCAGCCAAGUAGCGUGAAGGAUGACUGCCCUACGGGUUGUAAACUUCUUUUAUAAAGGAAUAAAGUGAGGCACGUGUGCCUUUUUGUAUGUACCUUAUGAAUAAGGAUCGGCUAACCCCGUGCCAGCAGCCGCGGUAAUACGGAGGGACCGAGCGUUAUCCGGAUUUAUUGGGUUUAAAGGGAGCGUAAAUGGGUUGGUAAGUCAGGUGUGAAAGUUUGCGGCUCAAACGUAAAAUUGCAGUUGAUACUGGCAGUCUUGAGUGCAGUUGAGGUAGGCGGAAUUCGUGGUGUAGCGGUGAAAUGCUUAGAUAUCACGAAGAACUCCGAUUGCGAAGGCAGCUUACUAAACUGCAACUGACAUUGAUGCUCGAAAGUGUGGGUAUCAAACAGGAUUAGAUACCCUUGUAGUC